AACAGGUUGAAGUUAACUGCUGUUGCUAGGUGACCGGAACACUGUUCUCAUCUCCUCCGCGUCCUACAUGGCUACAGAACAAGGGUUAUAAGUGAAAGAUCAUUAAAAAGGGUCGGAGGCGUAGGACUCCGGUGAGAUGUCCAUGCUGCUCCAUUUCUACUGGAUGUGUCACAGGAGUUUUGUUUAUGGAAAGACUGACGAAAGAGGGGCAUCAAUACAGGAAGUAACAGUAGAGGACAGGAGAGAGAGGGGAAAGACACAGAGAUUCAGAGAUAGACACAGCUGACUGCAGCUCAUUACUCCAGGGAUGAGCGCCUCAGGUUGGCUUUGGAUCUCGCUGAAGCAGUCUGUGUGUGUUGGCAGGAAGAUCAUGACUGCAUGGAUGUGGACCAUCUCUCACUCUCCUCAGCAUCUUGGUCGGAAGUCUGGGAGAAGAAGAGGCUGACAACCAGAACAGGUGGAAGCUGUCAAACAGCGUGUGCAGUCUGGCACAGUUGUACAUCACAAACACUCCUCCUCUCGGGCCUUUGGUGGACACGCCGCCUUCCCUCUGGACAUCCAGUGUCACCUAAACAG
Larimichthys crocea (large yellow croaker) is the source of this 576-nucleotide long non-coding RNA. RefSeq lists it as uncharacterized. Lineage: Eukaryota; Metazoa; Chordata; Actinopteri; Sciaenidae. The record is from RefSeq and is a predicted model, not a curated record. The transcript is spliced from 6 exons.